Molecule: ribosomal RNA, 299 nt
Filed under: uncultured bacterium
Lineage: Bacteria
Description: partial 16S ribosomal RNA
Rfam family: Bacterial small subunit ribosomal RNA
Source: RNAcentral
GAUGAACGCUGGCGGCGUGCCUAAUACAUGCAAGUCGAACGCGAGCACUUGUGCUCGAGUGGCGAACGGGUGAGUAAUACAUAAGUAACCUGCCCUAGACAGGGGGAUAACUAUUGGAAACGAUGACUAAUACCGCAUGUGGUCCUCGGAAGGCAUCUUCUGAGGAAGAAAGGAUUUAUUCGGUACAGGAUGGGCCCGCAUCUGAUUAGCUAGUUGGUGAGAUAACAGCCCACCAAGGCGACGAUCAGUAGCCGACCUGAGAGGGUGAUCGGCCACAUUGGGACUGAGACACGGCCCAA